GGGGCGGUCCUGGGCACGGACCUGUGUCCCAACAACCUUUGGCAAUACUAUUCCUGGUGUUAUAUAUAUCUUCCUGACGGUGCAAGGUUCUAUACUUUUGGGCUAGCUGCCAUCUGUUGUGCUAUUUGGAAUUGCCGCAACAGGGCGACCUUUGAAUUUAAGCUCCCCAAAACUCCUUUUGAGAUUGUAUUCUCCGCAUGUGUAUUCAUCACCGACUGGGCAGGUCUUCUGAAGGGGACAGACCAUGAGGCAAUGGAGCGGGGGUCACAGAUGUUGAGGAACAACACAAGCAACAUGAUGAGGAUCUGCGUUGCAGCGACGGAGGAUCCAACGACAACUUGA
RNAcentral lists this ribosomal RNA (342 nucleotides) under Triticum aestivum (bread wheat). RNAcentral describes it as "partial small subunit ribosomal RNA". The record is from RNAcentral. Lineage: Eukaryota; Viridiplantae; Streptophyta; Magnoliopsida; Poales; Poaceae.